ACGCCUUUUUCUGGCUCCCGUUGUCUCGCGUUCCGUCGUUGCUCUGGUGCCCUGGACUGCUGUGAAUGUGUUUUUAUGCCCUACUAGUGUUGCCUGGGGGUGCUUUUAUGUGUGCACCCUGGAAGAUAGGUCCAGAAGCCUUGCGAUUUCUUAGAUUAAAGCUAAGUGUACUCGUGACCCUACCAGCACUUUUCAAGAUACUUUCGACGUAUUCAUUGCGGUGAACAACGCGGUUGGGACAGCACACUCAUGACGUGGGAAGGUCACAGAAAUGUUGAAAGACAUCAGAUUGGGCAUACGCUUCACCCGUGCAACUUCGUCAUGUGCUCCACGGCAGCACAAGCCUUUACGGCUGUGCCACUGUAUGUAAAAA
Long non-coding RNA from Ornithodoros turicata, 373 nucleotides. RefSeq lists it as uncharacterized. The transcript is spliced from 4 exons. The record is from RefSeq and is a predicted model, not a curated record. Lineage: Eukaryota; Metazoa; Arthropoda; Arachnida; Ixodida; Argasidae.